AGAGUUUGAUCCUGGCUCAGAAUGAACGCUGGCGGCGUGCCUAACACAUGCAAGUCGAACGAGAAAGCCAGCAAUGGUGAGUACAGUGGCGCACGGGUGAGUAAUACAUAGGAAUCUGCCUCUGAGUGGAGAAUACCCUAGAGAAAUUUAGGUUAAUACUGCAUAAGCCUCGCAAGAGGGAAAGGUGGCCUCAAGCUGCCGCUGAGAGAUGAGCCUAUGGCCUAUUAGCUUGUUGGUGAGGUAAAAGCUCACCAAGGCGAAGAUGGGUAGCCGGCCUGAGAGGGUGUACGGCCACACUGGAACUGAGACACGGUCCAGACUCCUACGGGAGGCAGCAGUGGGGAAUCUUGCACAAUGGGCGAAAGCCUGAUGCAGCGACGCCGCGUGGAGGAUGACGGUCUUCGGAUUGUAAACUCCUGUUAAGUGGGAAGAAAGAUUCAUACCUAAUACGUAUGGAGGAUGACGGUACCACUAGAGAAAGCACCGGCAAACUUCGUGCCAGCAGCCGCGGUAAUACGAAGGGUGCUAGCGUUAUUCGGAAUAACUGGGCGUAAAGAGCGUGUCGGCGGUUUUUUAAGUCAACUGUAAAAGAGCUCGGCUUAACCGAGUAAAUGCGGGUGAUACUGGAAGACUAGAGUGCGGGAGAGAAAGGUAGAAUUCUCGGAGUAGCGGUAAAAUGCGUAGAUCUCGAGAGGAAUACCGGUUGCGAAGGCGGCCUUUUGGCCCGUAACUGACGCUUAAGCGCGAAAGCGUGGGGAGCAAACAGGAUUAGAUACCCCGGUAGUCC
RNAcentral lists this ribosomal RNA (787 nucleotides) under uncultured bacterium. Its description in RNAcentral is "bacterial SSU rRNA". It matches the Rfam family "Bacterial small subunit ribosomal RNA", at positions 8 to 796 of the family's 1533-position model. The record is from RNAcentral.